UACAGAGGCCCCAAGCGUUACUGAGAAUCACUGGGCUUAAAGGGUGCGUAGGUGGUCCGUUAAGUCUGUUGUGAAAGCCCUUGGCUCAACCAAGGAAUUGCUUCGGAUACUGGCGGACUUGAGGCUAGUAGAGGUCACUGGAACUGACGGUGGAGCGGUGAAAUGCGUAGAUAUCGUCAGGAACGCCGGUGGUGAAGACGGGUGACUGGGCUAGUUCUGACACUGAGGCACGAAAGCGUGGGGAGCGAACGGG
RNAcentral lists this ribosomal RNA (253 nucleotides) under uncultured bacterium. Its description in RNAcentral is "partial 16S ribosomal RNA". It matches the Rfam family "Bacterial small subunit ribosomal RNA", at positions 524 to 776 of the family's 1533-position model. The record is from RNAcentral.